GUCAUGUUUGCAUUGACAUGCUUGGUAGAUUUAUUUAGCAGUGAUGUAUCAGUGAAUUGUACAUAUAUUGCGAGCUGUUCCCGAAUGAAUAGCAAUUGAGGGAAAAGAGUACAAGAGCUCGUAUCAGUACAGGCAAUCCGGACGGCAAAAUAUAUACUGGAAACAAAUAAUUGUGUUGGAAGAGCAUGCCAUGUUUGCAUUGACGUUUAUUUAUAGGCUUAUUCGCCGGUUAUAGUGACAAAAUAAUGGAUAGAUAUAUUUGGCAGUGAUGUGUCAGUGACGUGUAUUUAUAUCUCAGAAAAGGAGUACAAGAGAGGUGGAGCUCGUAUCGGCAGGACGCUUAUGGAUACGAUGGACAGCAGUAAUAAAUACAGACACUUCCUGGACGACGAGCUGGUCUGUAUACCUCGUGCGCUGGUCAAUUGGCGAGUAAAUAUACAUGCUCAUCUAGCACGAGCACCGCGCGAGCCACAACCUCUUACUCUAGAGGCGCUUACCAGAAUCAGAACCACCAGUCCUGGCAAGCACAUGUGUCACAUCCAGAUGUGGAACUUCGAGAAACGCCUGAAGACCCUAAAGGACAUAGCAUCAUCACUGCUACAGGGGGUCUCGGAGAUCCAGCUUAAGGAUAUGGCAAAUGCCGGAUUCUUUUACUCAGGCCAGGGGAACACACUUAUAUGCGCCCAUUGUGGUAACAUUCUUCAUGACUGGGUUGAGGGUGACUGUCCCUGGAAGCGCCACGCCGAACUCAACUCCAAGUGUCCUUUACUGACAAGAGGUUGCAGUUUGGACAAAGCAGGGGAAGUGACGUCCCUGCGAAAACGACACAGUUCUGGCAGUGCAGGCUGACCAAGUAACGCCAAACAUUCCGGAUGACAUCCUUAUCUACUUAUGUAUGCUUCAGCUGCCUUUAGUAGUUUUAUGUUAAUAUAUGCUACGUUGCUUCCUAAUACGUGUACAAAAGCAUGACGUUUAGGGAAUGUAAAUAUUACGUAAUUGACAAAGUGAAAUUUACAUACCGAGCACGAGACAUGAACCCUGAACAUAGGGAUACAGCUGCUGAAGCAAAAGUAUAAAGCAAAUUUUAAAGCUAUGAAGCUUGGAAAUUUAAGGGAAGCUAAAAAAAAGUAUGCUCUGUUGAGUGAGUGAGUGAGUGAGUUUGGUUUGACGCCGCUUUUAGCAAUAUUCUAGCAACAUCACGGCGGGGGAUAACAGAAAUCGGCUUCACACAAUGCUCUGUUGAUAUGUGUGAAAAAUAGAAUAUACUCUUUAGGCAGAGAAUGCUAUAUUGAUAUGCCAGACGCAGAUAAUAUGCUCUGGUAUGUAUGUCAGACAGGGGGAGUAUGCUCUGUUGAAUUAUUAAGCACAAACAAUAUGCUCUGUUGAUUCGGCAAAUACAGAUGGUAUAUAUGCUUUGUUGAUUCAGCAGACACAGAAACUAUGUUCUAGUGGUUCGUCAGACACAGAAGCUGUGUUCUGUUGAUUAGUCAGACUCAGAAGAUACGUUCUUUUAAUCCGUCAGACACAGAGGCUAUGUUCCGUAGAUUCUUCAGACACAGAAGGUAUGCUCUGUUGGUUCGUCAGACACAGAAGGUAUGUUCUAUUGGUUCGUCAGAACACAAAAGCUAUGUUCUAGCUUCGUCAGGCACAAAAGCUAUGUUCAGUAGAUUCGUCAGACACAGAAGAUAUGCUCUGUUGAUUCGUCAGACACAGAAGAUAUGCUCUGUAGAUACGUCAGACACAUAAGGUAUGUUCUAUUGAUUCGUCAGACAAAAAAGCUGUUCAGCUAUUGAUUCGUCAGGCAAAAAAGCUGUCUUAUCUUGAUUCGUCAGAAAGAGAAGGUAUGUUCUGUUGAUUCGUCAGUCACAGAAGAUAUGUUCUGUUGGUUCGUGAGACGCAAAUUAUGAAAUCAGAAGUUAUGCUAUGCUGAUAUGUCAGACACAGGGAAUGUACUCUGUUGAUGUGUCAGACAGAAAGUAUGCUAUGCUGAUUGUUGGAUACAGGGAAUAUGCUCUGUUGAUAUGUCAGACAGAAAGUAUGCUAUGCUGAUAUGUCAGAUACAGGGGAUAUGCCCUGUUGGUAUCUCAGACACAAGGAAUGUGCUCCGUUAAUGUUUCAGACACAGAAAGUAUGCUAUACUGAUAUGUCAGGCACAAGGAAUAUGCCUUGUUGAUAUGUCAGACACUGGGAAUAUGCCUUGUUGAUAUGUCAGACACUGGGAAUAUGCUCCGUUGAUAUGUCAGACACCGGGAAUAUGCCUUGUUGAUAUGUCAGACACUGGGAAUAUGCUCUGUUGAUAUGUCAGACACUGGGAAUAUGCCUUGUUGAUAUGUCAGACACUGGGAAUAUGCUCUGUUGAUAUGUCAGACACUGGGAAUAUGCCUUGUUGAUAUGUCAGACACUGGAAAUAUGCUCUGUUGAUAUGUCAGACACUCGGAAUAUGCUCUGUUGAUAUGUCAGACAGAAUUUAUGCUAUGCUGAUACGUCAGGCACAGGGAAUAUGCCUUGUUGAUAUGUCAGACACUGGGAAUAUGCCUUGUUGAUAUGUCAGACACCGGGAAUAUGCUCUGUUGAUAUGUCAGACACUGGGAAUAUGCUCUGUUGAUAUGUCAGACAGAAUUUAUGCUAUGCUGAUAUGUCAGGCACAGGAAAUAUGCUCUGUUGACAUGUCAGACAGAAAGUAUGCUUCAGACACAGAAAGUGUGUUCUGUUCAUAUGUAAGACACAGAGAGAUAUGACAGAUAAAACCAGUAUGCCCUGAUUAUUAAUGUGUCAUCUACAGAUAUUUUAGAUAAAGAAAGUAUGCUUUGUUGCUAUGUGGGAAUCUGAUGUUAUGCUCGUUGACAGGUAAAUAAUUUCUCUGCUGUUAUGUCAUAUGUCACAUACAGUGUAUGCUCUGUUGAUAUGUCAGUCUCAGAAAGUAUGCUCUCUUAAAGUUGACACCCUAUUCUUAGGCUCGCAGUACUAUCUUGGACAUGUAUUAUGUAGCUCUAGCAAAUAAACUCUGCACUUUC
RNAcentral lists this unclassified non-coding RNA (3014 nucleotides) under Haliotis rubra (blacklip abalone). RNAcentral describes it as "e3 ubiquitin-protein ligase XIAP-like, transcript variant X2". Lineage: Eukaryota; Metazoa; Mollusca; Gastropoda; Lepetellida; Haliotidae. The record is from RNAcentral.